Mytilus trossulus (common blue mussel) is the source of this 5525-nucleotide long non-coding RNA. RefSeq lists it as uncharacterized. The record is from RefSeq and is a predicted model, not a curated record. Lineage: Eukaryota; Metazoa; Mollusca; Bivalvia; Mytilida; Mytilidae. The transcript is spliced from 3 exons.
UCCUCAUCUAUUCACCAACAGCCACUCUUAUGUAAACUGAAUCUGCAUCAUCAUAUUUCCACCAACAGCAAGUCUUAUGUUAACUGAAUCGGCAUCAUCAUCUCUCCACCAACAGCCAGCCAUAUGUAAACUGAAUCAGCAUCAUCAUCUCUCUACCAACAGCCAGUCUUAUGUUAACUGAAUCGGCAUUCUCAUCUAUCCACCAACAGCCAGUCUUAUGUAAACUGAAUCAUCAUCAACAUCUCUCCACCAACAGCCAGUCUUAUGUAAACUGAAUCAGCAUCAUCAUCUCUCCACCAACAGCCAGUCUUAUGUAAACUGAAUCGGCAUCAUCAUCUCUCCACCAACAGCCAGUCUUAUGUAAACUGAAUCGGCAUUCUCAUCUAUCCACCAACAGCCAGUCUUAUGUAAACUGAAUCGGCAUCAUCAUCUAUCCACCAACAGCCAGUCUUAUGUUAACUGAAUCGGCAUCAACAUAUUUCUACUAACAUCCAGUCUUAUGUAAACUGAAUCAGCAUCAACAUCUCUCCACCAACAGCCAGUCUUAUGUAAACUGAAUCGGCAUCAUCAUCUCUCCACCAACAGCCAGUCUUAUGUAAAUUGAAUCAGCAUCAUCAUAUCCCCUUCAACAGACAGUCUUCUGUAAACUGAAUUGCCACAACAUCUCUCAACCAACCUGCUGGCUUAUUCUGAAUUAUUAUCCUCAUCUCAUAACCAACAAACAGUCUGGCAUAUAUUAAAUAAGCAUCAUCACCUCUUUACCAACAAACAGUCUGGCAUACACUGAAUAAGCAUCAUCUUCUUUCACCCAAUCAUGAGCCUAGUGUGUACUGAAUAACCAUCUCUCUACCAACAAACAGUCUGGCGUAUAUUGAAUUAGCAUCAUCAUCUCUCAACCAACAAACUGUCUGGCAUAUUCUGAAUAAGCAUCAUCAUAUCUCAGCCAACAAACGUCUGGCAUAUAUUGAACUAGCAUAAUCAUCUUUCUACCAGCAAACAGUCUGGCAUAUAUACUGAAUGAGCAUCGUAAUCUCUCUACCAACAAACAGUCUGGCAUAUACUGAAUAAGGAAUAUCAUCUCUCAACCAACGAACAUCCUAGUUGUACUGCACUACAAUCCUCAUCUCUAAACCAACAGUCUGGCAUUAACUGAAUCAGCAUCACCAUCUCUCUACCAACAAACAGUUUAGAAUAUACUGAAUAAGCAUCAUCAUAUAUUAAGGAACAAACAGUAUGGCAUAUCCUGAAUUACCAUCAUCAUCUCUCAACCAACCAACAGUCUAGCAUAUCCUGAAUAAGCAUCAUCAUAUAUCAAGGAACAAACAGUAUGGCAUAUCCUGAAUUAUAAUCAUCAUCUCUCUACCAACCAACAGACUAGCAUAUACUGAAUUAUCAUCAUUAUCUCUCAACAAACAACAGUCUGGAAUAUACUGAAUAAGCAUCAGCAUCUCCCAACCAACAAAAACUCUGGCAUAUUCUGAAUUACCAUCAUCAUCUCUCAACAAACAACAGUCUGGCAUAUACUAAAUUAGCAUGAUCAUCUCUCAACAAACAACAGUCUGGCAUAUACUGAAUUAGCAUCAUCAUCUCUCAACCAACAAACAGCAUAGUAUGUACUGAAUUAGCAUCCUCAUCUUUAAACCAACUAGCAGUCUGGCAUAUAUUGAACUAGCAUCGUCAUAAUCCUACAAACAAACAGUCUGGCAUAUACUGAAUUAGCAUAAUCAUCUCUCUACAAACAGACAGUCUGGCUUCUACUGAAUUACCAUUCUCAACUCUCAUGCACCAAACAGUCUAGCAUAUACUGAAUUAGCACCAUUAUCUUUCAACCAACAACCAGUAUGGCAUAUACUGAAUAAGCAUCAUUAUCUUUCAACCAACAAACAGUCUGGCAUAAAUUGAAUAAGGAACAUUAUCUCUUAACCAAGUAACAGUCUGGCAUAUAUUCCAUUAGCAUUAUCUUCUAUACCAACAAACAGUCUGAGAUGUACUAAAUGACAAUCCUCAUGUCUCAACUAACAAACAGUCAUAUACUGAAUAACCAUCAUCAUGUUUCAACAAAUAAAACAUUUGGCAUAUACUGAAUUAGCAUCAUCAUCCUUCAACCAACAGUCUGGCAUAAACUGAAGAAACAGCAUCAUCUUUCAACCAACAAACAGUCUGGUAUAUACUGAAUAAGCAUCAUCAUCUCUCAACCAACAGACCGUCUGGCAUAUUUUUAUUCAGCAUCAUCAUCUUUCUACCAACAAACAGUCUGGCUUAUACUGAAUUACAAUUUCAUCUCUCAACCAACAGACAGUCUUCCAUAUAUACUGAAUAAGCAUCAUACUCUUUCAACCAACUAGAAGUCUGGCUUAUACCGAAUUAGCAUUAUCAUCUGUCAACCAACAAACACUCUGGCAUAUACUGAAUUAGCAUAAUCAUCUCUCUACCAACAAACAGCCUGGCUUAUACUGAAUUAGCAUCAUUUUCUCUCAACAUACAAUAGUCUGGCAUAUACUGAAUUAGCAUCAUCAUCUCUCAACUAACAAACAGCAUAGUGUGUACAGAAUUAGCAUCUUCGACUCUAAACCAACUAGCAGUCUGGCAUAUAUUGAACAAGCCUCAUCAUCUCUCUACCAACAAACAGUCUGGCAUAUACUGAAUAAGCAAAAUCAUCUCUCAACCAACAAACAGUAUGGCAUAUACUGAAAUAGUUAAAUCAUCUCUCAACCAACAAACAGUAUGGCAUAUACUGAAUUAGUAUCAUCUUUCAACCAACAAACACUCUGGCAUAUACUGAAUAAGCAUCAUCAUCUUUCAACCAACAAACAGUCUGGCAUAUACCUAAUUAGCAUCAUCAUCUUUCAACCAACAAACAGUUUGGCAUAAACUAAACAAGGAACAUUAUCUCUUAACCAACAAACAGUCUGGCAUAUAUUCCAUUAGCAUUAUCUUCUAUACCAACAAACAGUAUGGGAUGUACUAAAUGACAAUCCUUAUGUCUCAACCAACAAACAGUCAGGUAUAUAUAAAUUCAGCAUCUUCAUCUCUCAACCAACAAACAUUCUGGAACUUACUGAAUUAGUAUCAUCAUCUCUUUACCAACAAACAGUCUGGCAUAUACCGAAUUACCAUCCUGAUGUCUCAACAAGUCACCAGUCUAGCAUAUACUGAAUAAGCAUCAUCAUCUCUCCACCAACAGUCAGUCAUAUACUGAAUAACCAUCAUCAUGUUUCAACAAAUAAAACGUUUGGCAUAUAUUGAAUAAGCAUCAUCAUCCUUCAACUAACAGUCUGGCAUAAACUGAAGAAACAGCAUCAUCUUUCAACCAACAAACAGUCUGGUAUAAACUGAAUAAGCAUCAUCAUCUCUCAACCAACAGACCGUCUGGCAUAUAUUGAAUAAGCAUCAUCAUCUUUAAACCAACAAACAGUCUGGCAUAUACCUAAUUAGCAUCAUCAUCUUUCAACCAACAACAGUCUUGCAUAUAUACUGAAUAAGCAUCAUACUCUUUCAACCAACGAGAAGUCUGGCUUAUACCGAAUUUAGCAUCAUCAUCUGUCAACCAACAAACACUCUGGCAUAUACUGAAUUAGCAUAAUCAUCUCUCUACCAACAAACAGCCUGGCUUAUACUGAAUAAGCACCAUUUCUCUUAACAUACAAUAGUCUGGCAUAUACUGAAUUAGCAUCAUCAUCUCUCAACUAACAAACAGCAUAGUGUGUACUGAAUUAGCAUCUUCAUCUCUAAACCAACUAGCAGUCUGGCAUAUAUUGAACAAGCCUCAUCAUCUCUCUACCAACAAACAGUCUGGCAUAUACUGAAAUAGCAAAAUCAUCUCUCAACCAACAAACAGUCUGGCAUAUACUGAAUUAGUAUCAUCUUUCAACCAACAAACAGUCUGACAUAUACUGAAUAAGCAUCAUCAUCUUUCAACCAGCAAACAGUCAGGCAUAUACCUAAUUAGCAUCAUCAUCUUUCAACCAACAAACAGUCUGGCAUAUACCUAAUUAGCAUCAUCAUCUUUCAACCAACAAACAGUCUGGCAUAAACUAAACAAGGAACAUUAUCUCUUAACCAAGUAACAGUCUGGCAAAUAUUCCAUUAGCAUUAUCUUCUAUACCAACAAACAGUCUGGGAUGUACUAAAUGACUAUCCUCAUGUCUCAACCAACAAACAGUCUGGUAUAUAUAAAUUCAGCAUCUUCAUCUCUCAACCAACAAACAAUCUGGUACAUACUGAAUUAAAAUCAUCAUCUCUUUACGAACAAACAGUCUGGCAUAUACCGAAUUACCAGCCUGGUGGGUACUGAAUCAACAUCAUGAUCUCUUAAGCUAAAAACAGCCUAAUGUGUACUGAACUAGCAUCAUCAUAUCUCCAACUACUGACAGCAUGGUGUGAUCUGAAUCAACAUUAGCACAUCUCAUUAUUAGACAUACUUGUGUGAACUGAAUCAGCCUUCUCAUCUCUCCAUGACAGAUAACCAUGUUUAAAUUUCAUCAGCAGCAUCAUCUCUCAGCCAACAGACAAUCUAGUAUCGACUUAAUAAGCCUACACAUCUCUCCACCAACAGACAGCCUGGUCUAAACUGGAACAGCCUUUUAAUCUAAAAACUAACAGCCAGCCUGGUCUGUACGGAAUCAGCGUCCUCAUCGCUCCAUUUACAGAUAGCCUGGUGUGUACUGAUACAGACCUCCAUAUCUCGUGAUCAACAGAUAUCAUGGUUUGUACUGAAACAGCUUUUCAUCUAUCAACCAACAAACAACCUGGUGUGUUAUUAAUCAGCAUCAUCAUCCCUCCACCAACAGAAAAAACAGCUGAGGCCAACAAGAAUUGACUUUUAGGAAUGAUGUUUGUGCCAUAUGAUAAGUAACAACUACUUAAGUUUAUUUUUCCUACACUUUUAGUUGUGACCUGCAGCAGAUAUUUUAGUCAAUAUUUCACCAUUGUAAAGCCCUGCAGCUGAAGAAUCUCAGAAAAUGCUAAGUAUUUUACUGCUUUACCAUAAUGCUUAUAAUAUAUAUGAUUAAAGGUUUACCACAGCUUAUAUAAAAUUUUGUUUAAAGGUACUAUAAUUGACGCUUAAAUGUUGGCGUAAAAUGCAAGUUUUGUUUUAAUUAGCUUUAAGGAUUAUUGUUAAAAUAGUACAUACAAAAAACUUGAAACCCUAUUUUUAUAUGACCAUAAAUUUUGGCGGUCUUGCUGCUAUUCAACAUUAUCGGCCACAAAUAUAGUUUCCUGACUAAAACUGAAGUAUUUGCUCAAUUGUUAAUAAUUUUAACUUAACGUAAAUGAAUGUGUGUAUCGUGAGUUUCUCUCACUGACAACACUGGAUAAUAGCUAAGUGCUAUAUGCUAAUGACUAAAAAAUUAACCUUGUUAAACUUAUAUUUUGUGACUUCAAUAACUUGUAUUUAAAAGGAAAGUUACAAACAUAUGUUAAAUAAAAAUAUAGAUUCUAUCUCAAUGAAACUGAAUUAAUCACGGAAUGUAAAAUAUAUUUCUGUUUGAUUUUGGUUUUAUUAUCUCAAGAUGAUCUAGGCC